RNAcentral lists this long non-coding RNA (861 nucleotides) under Cricetulus griseus (Chinese hamster). RNAcentral describes it as "lncRNA (ENSCGRG00015039065.1)". The record is from RNAcentral. Lineage: Eukaryota; Metazoa; Chordata; Mammalia; Rodentia; Cricetidae.
CCCGGGGCAAGGAGAGCGGAAGUGAAGCAGACAGAUUGCACCUAAUUAUAAUGUGAUAGCGAGUCAGCGGAAUUUGGAGCAAUUAGGCCCCUCAUCUUCCUGGGGGUUCCUAGCUCGGGGUUUCUGGUGACCUGUAGGAGACCCUUCCUGCUUCUUCCUACUAGGAUUAGGGGGUGGCGCUUCCCAGGUUACGAAGCGAACUUCGGCCGGCCGGAGAAUUCACUCUGUGAGCUCCCCUUUAAUGCGCUCUCGAGCCCGGAUUUAUCCCAGCCCCACGCAGCCCAGGUGAGCCCUCAGAGAGAAGGAUCAAGAAUGACACACCCCAAAGGUGUGCUCUGAAGUGAGCAUUUCUGUGACCCCUGCCCAGCAAGAGCUCACCCUGAACCAGAAGGGAAUGAAAUUCCACCAGAGCGCACAGGAUGAGAUGAGCUGGAAGAAGGAGGGAGAGGGCACCAAGCUGGUGCAGUUAGCUGGAGAGAGACUCAGCAUGAAAGCUGUAACCUUUCCGUGUUUGGUGUUUGGUAGCUGUCUCAGGUCUCUCCUGUUCUCUGGUAUCCAACACCUUUGGGGUUUGUUACCCCCAAUAUGUUAAAAUCCAAAUUGGUAGGUAGCAGUUCCUUUUGUAAAAUAGAUUUUAAAUACCUGAUGCAAUGUUUAUUUCACUAUUGGUUAUUUUGUCCAGGGAUUUUAUUUACUUGUUUUCUGUUAAUGCUGAUUUUCAAAAAUAUUGUAUGAAAAUAGUAUGCUUUCUUGCUUGCUGAUUUUGCAUUUGCUUAAUUUUGUAGCUUAAGUAAAUGCUUCACUCUUACAAUUACUCCAGUACUCUGACCCCUGAAGUUGGUAAUGUGCUCCAAAGACCAG